Molecule: ribosomal RNA, 497 nt
Filed under: uncultured bacterium
Lineage: Bacteria
Description: partial 16S ribosomal RNA
Rfam family: Bacterial small subunit ribosomal RNA
Source: RNAcentral
GAUGAACGCUGGCGGCGUGCCUAAUACAUGCAAGUCGAGCGAACGGACGAGAAGCUUGCUUCUCUGAUGUUAGCGGCGGACGGGUGAGUAACACGUGGAUAACCUACCUAUAAGACUGGGAUAACUUCGGGAAACCGGAGCUAAUACCGGAUAAUAUUUUGAACCGCAUGGUUCAAAAGUGAAAGACGGUCUUGCUGUCACUUAUAGAUGGAUCCGCGCUGCAUUAGCUAGUUGGUAAGGUAACGGCUUACCAAGGCAACGAUGCAUAGCCGACCUGAGAGGGUGAUCGACUAGACGGGAACUGAGACACAGUCCCGACUCCUACGGGGGGCAGCAGUAGAGAAUCUUCCGGAAUGGGCGAGAGCCUGACGGAGCAAAGCCGGGUGAGUGAUGAAGGUCUUCGGAUCGUAAAACUCUGUUAGUCGGGAAGAACAUAUGUGUAAGUAACUGUGCACAUCAUGACGGUACCUAAUCAGAAAGCCACGGCUAACUACGUG